Molecule: long non-coding RNA, 420 nt
Filed under: Androctonus crassicauda
Lineage: Eukaryota; Metazoa; Arthropoda; Arachnida; Scorpiones; Buthidae
Source: RNAcentral
CUUGUGUUAGUCUAUUUCUGCCCCAGAUAAAACUUUUCUUUCACCUUUUUCCUGGGAAAGAUGAUGUCCUGUGCUUUCCUGUUUUUAUUUGUCUUUUGAUACAUAUGUAUGUAAUAUUAUUAUUUCUUUAUGUUGUGAAGACAAGGUUCUCCACACCAGGUAGUACGAUAUUUUUAUUGUUUGCUUUCCUUUUUAAGAUGUCACACUCUUCAAAUUCCUUUUGUAAUUUUUUGAUGACAUGGGGAGUGACACCUUGCCUCCCAACCAAAUUCUGGGUCUCCAUAUACAUAAUUUUACAUAAUUUGUUAACCAUAAUUAAAUACAUUUAUGCAAAAAUGAGGCUAAUUUGAUUAAAUGAAGGAAGUUGUUUCAAAUGGUACAAGAAAUGCUCUUGUAUAAUUUCAAAUUUUUUAAUACAAG